CCUACGGGAGGCAGCAGUGAGGAAUAUUGCUCAAUGGGCGCAAGCCUGAACCAGCCAAGCCGCGUGAAGGAUGACUGCCUUACGUUUUGUACACUUUUUGUAUAAAGGAAUAAAGUGAGGCACGUGAGACUUUUUGAAUGUACUUUAUGAAUAAGGAGCGGCUAACACCGUGCGAGCAGCAGCGGUAAUACGGAGGAUCCGAGCGUUAUCCGGAUUUAGUGGGUUUAAAGGGAGCGUAGAUGGGUUAGUAAGUCAGUUGUGAAAGUUUGCGGCUUAACCGUAGAAUUGCAAUUGAUACUGGUAUUCUUGAGUACAGUUGAGGUAGGUGGAAUUCGUGGUGUAGCGGUGAAAUGCUUAGAUAGCACGAGGAACUCUGAUUGCGAAGGCAACCUACUAAACUGCCACUGACAUUGAUGCUCGAAAGUGUGGGUAUCAAACAGGAUUAGAUACCCCUGUAGUC
This 460-nucleotide ribosomal RNA is filed under the name uncultured bacterium. RNAcentral describes it as "partial 16S ribosomal RNA". It matches the Rfam family "Bacterial small subunit ribosomal RNA", at positions 338 to 795 of the family's 1533-position model. The record is from RNAcentral.